RNAcentral lists this ribosomal RNA (849 nucleotides) under Saccharomyces cerevisiae (brewer's yeast). RNAcentral describes it as "partial 18S ribosomal RNA". The stretch from base 400 to 553 matches the Rfam family "5.8S ribosomal RNA". Lineage: Eukaryota; Fungi; Ascomycota; Saccharomycetes; Saccharomycetales; Saccharomycetaceae. The record is from RNAcentral.
UCCGUAGGUGAACCUGCGGAAGGAUCAUUAAAGAAAUUUAAUAAUUUUGAAAAUGGAUUUUUUUUUUUUUGUUUUGGCAAGAGCAUGAGAGCUUUUACUGGGCAAGAAGACAAGAGAUGGAGAGUCCAGCCGGGCCUGCGCUUAAGUGCGCGGUCUUGCUAGGCUUGUAAGUUUCUUUCUUGCUAUUCCAAACGGUGAGAGAUUUCUGUGCUUUUGUUAUAGGACAAUUAAAACCGUUUCAAUACAACACACUGUGGAGUUUUCAUAUCUUUGCAACUUUUUCUUUGGGCAUUCGAGCAAUCGGGGCCCAGAGGUUAACAAACACAAACAAUUUUAUCUAUUCAUUAAAUUUUUGUCAAAAACAAGAAUUUUCGUAACUGGAAAUUUUAAAAUAUUAAAAACUUUCAACAACGGAUCUCUUGGUUCUCGCAUCGAUGAAGAACGCAGCGAAAUGCGAUACGUAAUGUGAAUUGCAGAAUUCCGUGAAUCAUCGAAUCUUUGAACGCACAUUGCGCCCCUUGGUAUUCCAGGGGGCAUGCCUGUUUGAGCGUCAUUUCCUUCUCAAACAUUCUGUUUGGUAGUGAGUGAUACUCUUUGGAGUUAACUUGAAAUUGCUGGCCUUUUCAUUGGAUGUUUUUUUUUUCCAAAGAGAGGUUUCUCUGCGUGCUUGAGGUAUAAUGCAAGUACGGUCGUUUUAGGUUUUACCAACUGCGGCUAAUCUUUUUUAUACUGAGCGUAUUGGAACGUUAUCGAUAAGAAGAGAGCGUCUAGGCGAACAAUGUUCUUAAAGUUUGACCUCAAAUCAGGUAGGAGUACCCGCUGAACUUAAGCAUAUCAAUAAGCGGAGGA